This 67-nucleotide transfer RNA is filed under the name Coleoptera sp. ACP-2013. RNAcentral describes it as "tRNA-Ser". The record is from RNAcentral. Lineage: Eukaryota; Metazoa; Arthropoda; Insecta; Coleoptera.
UAGUUAAUGAACUUGUAUAAGUAUAUGUUUUGAAACCAUAAAAAAGAAAAAAAUUUUUCUAUUAACU